UACGUAGGGCGCAAGCGUUGUCCGGAAUUAUUGGGCGUAAAGCGCGUGUAGGCGGCUUUGCAAGUCGGGUGUGAAAGCCCUCGCUUAACCGAGGAAGUGCGCCCGAAACUGCAGAGCUUGAGUACCGGAGAGGAUGGCGGAAUUCCCCAAGUAGAGGUGAAAUUCGUAGAUAUGGGGGAGGAACACCGGUGGCGAAGGCGGCCAUCUGGACGGAUACUGACGCUGAGACGCGAAAGCGUGGGGAGCAAACAGG
Molecule: ribosomal RNA, 253 nt
Filed under: uncultured bacterium
Lineage: Bacteria
Description: partial 16S ribosomal RNA
Rfam family: Bacterial small subunit ribosomal RNA
Source: RNAcentral